This 131-nucleotide small RNA is filed under the name Klebsiella pneumoniae. RNAcentral's name for it is "RtT sRNA". It matches the Rfam family "RtT RNA". From Rfam's summary of the family: This family represents a bacterial cis-regulatory element known as RtT RNA. Lineage: Bacteria; Pseudomonadati; Pseudomonadota; Gammaproteobacteria; Enterobacterales; Enterobacteriaceae. The record is from RNAcentral.
UAUUCUGCCCCACGGGGAAGGAUGAGAAGCUUCGACUAAGGUUCGACUCGAGCGAAGCGAGAGAACGUUGCCGCAGCAACGGCCCGAAGGGCGAGGAGCGAUAGCGACGAGUUAUCCUUCCCCCACCACCA